RNAcentral lists this ribosomal RNA (301 nucleotides) under uncultured bacterium. Its description in RNAcentral is "partial 16S ribosomal RNA". It matches the Rfam family "Bacterial small subunit ribosomal RNA", at positions 509 to 807 of the family's 1533-position model. The record is from RNAcentral.
CAGCCGCCGCGGGAAUACGUAGGGUGCAAGCGUUAAUCGGAAUUACUGGGCGUAAAGCGUGCGCAGGCGGUUAUAUAAGACAGAUGUGAAAUCCCCGGGCUCAACCUGGGAACUGCAUUUGUGACUGUAUAGCUAGAGUACGGCAGAGGGGGAUGGAAUUCCGCGUGUAGCAGUGAAAUGCGUAGAUAUGCGGAGGAACACCGAUGGCGAAGGCAAUCCCCUGGGCCUGCACUGACGCUCAUGCACGAAAGCGUGGGGAGCAACCAGGAUUAGAUACCCCGGUAGUCCCUGUCUCUUAUAC